Molecule: ribosomal RNA, 586 nt
Filed under: uncultured bacterium
Lineage: Bacteria
Description: bacterial SSU rRNA
Rfam family: Bacterial small subunit ribosomal RNA
Source: RNAcentral
CCUACGGGAGGCAGCAGUGGGGAAUUUUGGACAAUGGGCGAAAGCCUGAUCCAGCAAUGCCGCGUGAGUGAAGAAGGCCUUCGGGUUGUAAAGCUCUUUUGUCAGGGAAGAAACGGUGAGGGCUAAUAUCCCUUGCUAAUGACGGUACCUGAAGAAUAAGCACCGGCUAACUACGUGCCAGCAGCCGCGGUAAUACGUAGGGUGCAAGCGUUAAUCGGAAUUACUGGGCGUAAAGCGUGCGCAGGCGGUUUUGUAAGUCUGUCGUGAAAUCCCCGGGCUCAACCUGGGAAUUGCGAUGGAGACUGCAAGGCUAGAAUCUGGCAGAGGGGGGUAGAAUUCCACGUGUAGCAGUGAAAUGCGUAGAGAUGUGGAGGAACACCGAUGGCGAAGGCAGCCCCCUGGGUCAAGAUUGACGCUCAUGCACGAAAGCGUGGGGAGCAAACAGGAUUAGAUACCCUGGUAGUCCACGCCCUAAACGAUGUCUACUAGUUGUCGGGUUUUAAUUAACUUGGUAACGCAGCUAACGCGUGAAGUAGACCGCCUGGGGAGUACGGUCGCAAGAUUAAAACUCAAAGGAAUUAGACGG